CUGAUUGGGGCCUGUGCACACUUGGGAUAGCAUCUAGAAAGAAAAAUCCCUAAGAAUGUGAAAAUGUAGAAAUUUGAAUUAUGUUGAUGCUGCUGUGGACUUGUUACCCAGAAUGAAGCCUCAAUUGCAGCCUAGUAGGGUUUCUUGUCCCAUGAAGUCAUACUGAAGGAAGAUUGGAGGGACAGAAAAAGCUUACCCCCCUGCUGGGAAUGGAAAGUACGUGUUAGGCACUUGUGGGAUUGGAUGAGAAAAGGACUUCAGAUGAACGAGAGGCUGGCGCAGCACCAUGGACAGCAGACACUCCAGCGUCCACCUCAAAUUACUUAGGGCGGGUUUGCGUGAGAGUCUCCCUGCAGACUGUAAUUCUAGCUCUUGUAUGACACCAUUAUGGUACCAUAGAUAUUGCCAUGAUGACCAAAUAAGGCUUCAAUUUCUUAGGCCCUCCGAGAUUAGCCCUAAUUUAAUCUAUUCCACAUUAUAUUUCAAUUUCCAUUAUGCCUCAGGAGUUCAGAUCCAGGCCAGAGAAUUUUGUGUGAUUCAUUAAUUUAAUUGGAACUUAGUUUUUAACUACAUCAUUUCAUGGACCAGACACUAACUGUGAAGUAAAGUCUUUACUGUUUCUCUAUUACUUCCAUUGUUUCUCUGCCUUCUCCCAUCACCACUAUACCCUGUACCUUCUUUCACAGGGAUUUGUUUUUUGGGGGACUUAAACUCCAUCUCCUGUGUGAGCCCUCAGAUGGCACCUCCUUGGGAAAACUUUGUCACACUUUUCUCACACCCCAGUCUCUCUCUUCACUCCUUUAUUUGCUUUAUUUUUACUUCUUUUUUGACAUAUCAACUUCUUCUGGUAUUGCUGUUAUUUAUGUGCUCAUCUUCUCUCCCUGGAGGACAGAGUUAGUGCCUGAUUCUCUGUUGUGCUUGGGACUAGUGCUGUUUAUUCAAUUCUUAUUUUUCCAUUUAUACUGAGGAUAUUGAUGAACAAGGCCCUGUUUUCCAAAACACUGACAAUACUAUUUUGGAACAUACUUAAAUGCAGUGUGUGUAUAUAAUUCAACUAUUUAUCAUAAUGGAAGGCGGACAGGACCAUGACAAAUGGGAAACAAAAACACAGUUCCACUUGUAGAGAAAAAAGCACCACAUUGUCUUUCUGAGGGGAAAAAAAGGUAUUUCUAGUUUUAAAGGGCAAUCUCACUGACUAAAAAGGUGGAGAGAAAGUUUGGAGAACAGCAUAUAGUGAAUUGAUUAAUUUUUAAUGCUACACGAUGACUCUCAAAAGGGCUAUUAAGAUGAGCCAGCCUUGCCUUUUCUUGGCUAGAUUGGUUUGUCUCCACGUGAAGAAGAGAUAGGAGAAAGCACCAGAUCUUUUCAAAGGGCCUGUUUACUCGUGGUAUUCAGAUCAAACAAGAUAAGUGGGAUGAUUGGGAAUUCUUUAUUUGCACUUCUAAUUGUUUCCUUAAAUGUGACCAUAAAAAUUCAUUUAGAAAACUGCGGCAGAUUUAAGGAGAUAAAAUAAAACCUCAGAUGGCUGUUAGUAAUACAAAUAGCUUACAGUGUUUCUGCAAACUGCAUGUCAGCCACAAUUAACAAUAUGAUGUUUAUUUUGGUGUGGGUGGAUACCCCAGCAAGCAGUCUCUGUCUGUACAUCGAUGGAUCCUUUUAUCAUGUCUUCGUAAGUGAAACAUUCUGUCUUGCAGAAGACAGAUGGACGCACGGCACGUCCUCACAGCGCAACCACUUAUGGCAGUGGAAUCUGUCGGACAAACAGGUCCGCACUGGCCCGUGAGCAACGCCUACCCCUGGUGGAGGAAACCUACACACAUGCAGGAGCUCUGAUCGCAAUCAUCACACGCUCACUUUUUUUUUU
Molecule: long non-coding RNA, 1864 nt
Organism: Fukomys damarensis (Damara mole-rat)
Lineage: Eukaryota; Metazoa; Chordata; Mammalia; Rodentia; Bathyergidae
Exons: 4
Source: RefSeq, a predicted model, not a curated record